Cuculus canorus (common cuckoo) is the source of this 5752-nucleotide long non-coding RNA. RefSeq lists it as uncharacterized. NCBI's taxonomy places the organism in Eukaryota, Metazoa, Chordata, Aves, Cuculiformes, Cuculidae. The record is from RefSeq and is a predicted model, not a curated record. The transcript is spliced from 5 exons.
CCCUGCUUGGGUGCACACACCCACAGCUGCCGGCGAGAGGACACUGUGGUGACUGGGAGAGCCUGGGAAGCCUGGGAAAGCAAGCAACCGAUCCGGAUCAGCUACCAAAGUGGACGGAACAAGUGGGACCUCGCUGGUAUUGGUAGGCACAGCUGAAAUUGAGGAGAGGAGGUGACAGGGAAGCACCCUGAGCUACAAAGCACCCUGGAGCCCUUCCACAGCUGAUUCUCACUUGAGUGCCUGCGAAAGCCCUGCACCCUGUGCUGCUGCUCCCUCUGGCCCCGCACAGGGGAAAGCUGUUUCCACAUUCAGACAUUGGACCCAGACUAAAAGAUGGGGUCCCAGCAGCUGUGUCACUAGUGUGGAGAUGUAAGAACAACCUCUGUUUCUAGUGGGUUUUGCUCAAUGCACAGAGGACCUCUGCGAAUCCUGGCACCGUUCUUUUGCAGAUGUUUCAUGGCACGUGCUUCAUGCCCCGGCACCUCACGGACCAUCUCACACUGGGUAUAAAACACCUACUUAUCUGAUGGCAAUUAGUGUCUUCAUGCGGUUAUGAGGUAGGCAUCCAGUCGACGUCAGCUCACGGAGAGCAUGUAACAGGCAGCUGCUUUCCUCCUCUCCCACCCUAGACUCCUUGCCUGCAUGACAGCCAAAUAUUCCGCCAGUCAGGGGAAGCAAAAACUAAUUUUCCAUAACAGAGGCAAUACUCCUGCAGUAACAUGGGACAGCCAUUAGAGAAGUGCCGUUUCAGCGCACAUCAUUGACUUCGGGAAACAGAAGUGGUCCGCAGGCCGGCUGGCACUGCAGGACAUGGACACGGGAGCUGAGCCUUCAAUGGGAGAUAUGGUUUGUGCAGAGGAGAGCGCACAGCGUGCAGUAACACCUCAGAGGGAAACACUGGCACCACUGAAGAUGGGAGUGAGAGCAGCCAUUCAGCUGGCAGAAGAUCAAAUAUUGUGCCUGUCUUCAGCAAGGAUUUGGCAAACAGUAAACCGGUGGACCUACCCUCAAUAUUAGCAAGAGCUGUCAAACAAGUGACUAUAAAAUCAGUAUGUAAAUAUUUAGAAGACAUCAAGAAGACUUAUCAGCAUUAGCAUGGGCAUCUAAAGAACACAGGUUCCAGCUUGGCCAGGCUUCGAAGAACGAGCGCAGAGAUAGCACCUGUAGUAUCUCUGUCUGUCCUGUGUUAGGUCUUGUGACAAAAGCAACAUCAGCUCAUAAACAGACAAGGUCCCUAAAUGUUGGCCACUGUUAGGAGCUCGCAUCCAGAGAAUACAGUGCGGCCCUUACAUGGAGCAUAGAGUACUGGAAAGAAGAAAAAAACUCAGAACAUUAAAGACACAGAUAAAGCACUCAAAAAAAGGAAGAAAACAAGCAGAUAUGGCUUUGCCUGUCCUUAUACCAUCUAGAUGCAGUGUUGCUCCAGCAGUCCAAGGGAAUACCAUUCAUAUAUAUGGCUCAUGAAAUGAAGAAAUCUGGGAAUACAUGAUGCUGGAAGAGAAGUGAAAAAUGAGGACUGCUGUAGAGGUCCAAGCUGCAGAUCUUCCUGCUCAUUACAAGGAGGUUGGACUAGAUGACCUACUUAGUCUGUUCCUGAUUAUAUUAGAUUAUUAUGCCUCAGCCAGAUGACUGUAACAGCACCUUUUCUUAACCCAAAGGUACCUUAUACAAGAUGACCACUUUCAGUUGCUCCCUUUUGUCUAGAAAAGCCUCACAGAUGCCUAACGCUGCAGCUAUGUGUUUGUCCUGGAGAUUUAGCAUACAAGUACAGUUUUGUAAACAAAUAUAUUCAAAUACUCAUAAACUAAUAAUGAUAAUGAUUUUUGCCUUUUAACCUUGAUUUCCAAGGGCAAGUCUUCAAGCUGUUGAUUAAGUCUAGAUAAGCAAGAGAGGAUCACCUUAGGAUCUCCUGUUGGCAGUGCAGAUCAGAGGUGGGGAGCAAGAGCAUCAUUCUCAUCAUCCCCUCACUGUGCCCGCACUUGUUGUUUGCAAUGCUGAAAUGCUUUUUACAGUGAAUGGUGUCAGUGAUACAGUUAGCAAGAAAUAUGGGCCUUGGAUGGAUGCAGGAAUAUAUAGACAGCCCAAGAAAUGAGAAGGGAUGAAAGAAAAACCAAAAAGAAAUUCAGUGGCUGUAUUUGUUUUCCUUGGAUUUUCUUUGGACUACUUGCCUUCUCUCUGAAAUUAUUUGGCUAAACUGGUGACUCCAUGGUGUUUAUUACUUUAAUUACCAAUGAACCACUGAGAUGAAAUUUACUGAAUAAUAAAGCUGUAGACAGAUGUACUCUGCAGAUCAUCAUGCACAGUUGUAAAUUUGGGAAAAGAGCAAGAUCUUACCACAUUUAAUUGGCACAGAGCAGCAGGACUCAGGAAUUUAUAGCCAAUGUUUUCAUCCAUUAAAAAAAAUAUGUUUCCAAUUCGUAAAUUAUUGGCUUAAUUAAAUUUAAAUCACUUCAGCAGGCACACCUUGGAAUCAUCAUUGCUUCCGGAGCUUGACUUAGUUGAGAAGUGUCCAGAGGAAGGAAGAGCAGAAGUCACAAGAAGCACAGAACAAAGCACAAUGCAAAUAAUUAAAAGACAUGGGGAACUGAGUGUGUUGGAUAAAAAAAAUUUGAUUCACGUUUUCUUGAAGCUGGUGGCCAGCAUGGGAAGCAUAUUGGAAGCACAGAAAAUAAAGAUUCCCUAUCAACACCAACAUCAACAACUGGGUUGUAAAAGGCAAGUGAAACUGGCAAAGACCUUAGAGACACAGGCAACUGCUCCUUGGCUCCCAGUUACAAGGAGGGAUAGCUUGAUGCAACCAUGUCUUUGCUAUACCCAGUUUUACUAAGCAUAAGGACUCUUUCAAGGAAUGAACUUUGAAGUCAUCAUUAGCAGAAUUCAUCAGGUCUGCUCCUGAGCAUUAUCAAUGCACGGCCAUGAGUGGAAAUCCCAGAGUGCAAAUAACAGCAGCACUGCAAAGCCUUCUUCAAAGGAGGGAUAGUAGAGGCAGAAAGGGGGAGUGCGGAUGUCACAUGGGAAGGGUCUGUCUGUGCCAAGUGAUCCCGCACCCCAAGUUCCUUUUUUAUUUUUUUUUUUACUUUCAUUGAAAAUCCCUCAGAUGCUGACAAUUAUUCCCAUUGCACUGAGUACACCAGCAAUUACAGGUCCAUUUGAAUGCCCAUAGGAAGUCUUUCCAUUGGCUUCAUUGCUCUUUGGUUAUUCUCUGUAUUCACAUCCUAUCAUCAGCUUCUUGCUGAUAAAUAGGUGAUAGAAAUAAUUAUUGAUACUUGUGGUGUGGCAACAUGGGAAAGUAGAUACCUAAGAAAGCAAUGCCUCUGACAGCAGGCAGCAUUUUAUGAAAUGACAUAUUCUAUGAGUUUGAAGUAAUAUCUUAAAAUGCUUUAAAACUAAUAAAUGGAUGUUCUAGCUAAUGAGACUGUCUUCACCAGCCAAAACAAUGCAUCGUGUCAUUAACGGAGUUACAUAAUGUCAGUAACUUUAAACAUGGAGAACUAAAAACCUCCUUCAUCCAAUACCCUAGGUGACACCAAAAGCAGACUCAAGCUCCUUUCCACUUGGCAGAGGACUGGCAAAAGCACUGCAGUUUUCACAGCUACCUUUAAUCCCAAGAGGCAGAGCUCAGGAAAUACUGUAAGGGCUUGCUUCCCAGCUUACUUAGGUAUUGGCCCGUCUGCCAGCCACGCUUCAUUGGGCCUUGCCUCAUUGCAGAGCUGCCCGGCGUCAUUAUGCACCAAAAAGCAACAAAGGGAGCUCAGCUGGCUUCAAAGGGUGCAGGACCCAUGGCCCAGGCUGAGAGGGGCUGGCAAAGAGCAAGAAAAAGUCAGGCUUCAGUAACUUUUAAUGACAGCUCUUGUUAGGGUUAAAAAAACAACUCGGCCAUCGUGCUGUGAUUCAGUCUGAAGGGGAACCCAUCACCCUUGCUGCUACAGGUCGCAGCACUGCAAAGGAUGUUGUUAUCCUCGAAAUUAAUCAUUCAGAGCUACCACAACAGGCAUGUGAUACCAAGCUGAGAUGCAAAGCUCACUGCAGCCUGCCUGACAGGAGACUGAUUACUGCUACUUCAGCCAUCUCAUCCUUCUCGCAGGAUCCUUCCUCAACUAUCAAAUUACACUUUUGUACAACUGGGAAAAAGCAAGUUGUUUCAGCAAAGUCCCUCUCUUCCCCUUCCCAGGGCCCCUAAUCAGCCCCUGGAGUAAUACACUGACUGGUGCAGAUGGACACUUCAAACAGCGCUAGCUGGAAAAAGUAAAGAAUAAAUUACCAUCCUGUCUCGGUCCUGUUUCUUAGUAUAAUAUUUCUGUUGUUAACAGAAAAGACAGUUUAACAUUUUAGAAAGCUCUUAUCAUCCUUUCCUGUUUUUACAGGAAGCAAAAGUACAUAGAAGCCAAAAUCAGUAGUUAGGAUUGGUAAGAAACAAUUAAGUAUGCAUCCCAAGCUUUGAAAUUCUCCAGAAAUGCCAGGUAAUUGAAAUUUUUUCUCCUCACUUCCACUCAUACGAGCCCUCAGAUAGCUUUCUGGCUUUAAGAGUGUUGUGUCUGCCAACACAGAGAAAUCUAUCCCAGUCUCAGUACACUGGCCACAUUAUCUGUGGUCCUCUACUGAGGAUAAACUCUCCUUGUCUUUCACCUCUCAGUAACAGUUCCAUGUCAAGAAUGAACCAAGUUCUUGUUAGAUGAGUGAUGCAGGGUGAAAAUCCAGCUGUUGAUGCUUCUUUCCUUCUGAGCAACAUUUAUUUACUAUGAUUUGGGCUACAACAGCUCCUGAAAGUACCAGUGGAGACAUGUGCCCUGGGAUGAUGUGGACUAUACAAAAGAUACAGAUACACACCCUAAAAGUUUACAGUCUAAAAUAACAAGGAAAAUAACUAAGAUGUUUUUGCACAUGAAGAAGCUCACACUUCAUGAAAUUAAACCGUCCCAGAGGAAGAAAGAUUUGCUUGGGUCUGUGGAUAAGACACCAUCAAUUAUUAUAUAUUUAAUAAUUUAAGUGACAUAUACUUCAUCUGUGCCUCAUUUAACAUCAAAAUAGCUCAUCUAUUUCUAUAGUCAGAUAUCUUCUCUAAUGCCUGGAUUUCUGAUGUACUACUAUAGAGUAAUGUUCACAAUGAGUUUCAUCAUCAAUUCCUUCUGAAUUCCUGUUUCUUGGUCAAUUCUGUUCUGUAAAACAGCUCUUUGUAGCAGUUAUCUUGAAUUUACAAUAGCUUCACAUUGAGAAUUGAGGUAUUACAUGACUGUUAUUUUAAUGUUGUUUGUGUAUUCAGUUGUACAUAAUUAUGAAAUGGAAUUAUGGGAAGGGGUUUAGAGAAUUUAUCUAUAAGAUAUUUCGCAGUCAUUAGCAACCGCAGCAAAGCCCAGUUGGACCAACGCAGGAAGGCAGAAAGAAAUGCUUCUGUUUUUCUAGUGCUCUGGAGUGUUUUCCCAUUUGUUGAUUCUAGAAAUUUUUUUCAAGUGAAACCUAGUUCCAGGAGCAUGGGGAAAUCAUGCUAGAUUUACAUCCAUACACUGCAGUGGAAAAAAGCUGAUCCCGCACAAUAAAUCAUUUCCAUUUCAUUUCAAUAUGUGAUCACAUGACAACACGUUGGGGAAAAUGGAAAUGUAAUGGUAUCACAGCUGCACAUGGGCACAGCAGCAGGAGGACAAACCCAAGACAAUACUGAGUUCAGAAGUUCAGAUUUAGCACAGGGUUAUAAAAGCUGAAUUAUAACCUUUGCUGAACUCAUAUCCCUAGAGCAACUCCCCACCACCGCACUCAC